Molecule: ribosomal RNA, 253 nt
Filed under: uncultured bacterium
Lineage: Bacteria
Description: partial 16S ribosomal RNA
Rfam family: Bacterial small subunit ribosomal RNA
Source: RNAcentral
UACAGAGGUCCCAAGCGUUGUUCGGAAUCACUGGGCGUAAAGCGCACGUAGGCGGAUUGCUAAGUCAGGGGUGAAAUCCUGGAGCUCAACUCCAGAACUGCCUUUGAUACUGGCGACCUUGAGUCCGGGAGAGGUGAGUGGAACUGCGAGUGUAGAGGUGAAAUUCGUAGAUAUUCGCAAGAACACCAGUGGCGAAGGCGGCUCACUGGCCCGGUACUGACGCUGAGGCACGAAAGCGUGGGGAGCAAACAGG